GAUUGUCCCCCUGUACCAGGCACUGGUGAGGCCGCACCUUGAAUCCUGUGAUCAAUUCUGGGCCUCUCACUCCAAGAAAGACAUUAAGGUGCUGGAGCGGGGCCUGGACCACAAGUGUGA
This is a long non-coding RNA of Strigops habroptila (Kakapo), 120 nucleotides long. RefSeq lists it as uncharacterized. The transcript has 3 exons. The record is from RefSeq and is a predicted model, not a curated record. Lineage: Eukaryota; Metazoa; Chordata; Aves; Psittaciformes; Psittacidae.